CCUACGGGCGGCAGCAGUGAGGAAUAUUGGUCAAUGGCCGGGAGGCUGAACCAGCCAAGUCGCGUGAGGGAAGACGGCCCUACGGGUUGUAAACCUCUUUUGUCAGGGAGCAAGGUGCAGGUUGGGACCUGCUGUGAGAGUACCUGAAGAAAAAGCAUCGGCUAACUCCGUGCCAGCAGCCGCGGUAAUACGGAGGAUGCGAGCGUUAUCCGGAUUGAUUGGGUUUAAAGGGUGCGCAGGCGGAGGCACAAGUCAGCGGGAAAAUCGCGGGGCUCAACCCCGCUCCGCCGUUGAAACUGUGUCCCUUGAGUGCGCGAAGGGUAGGCGGAAUGCGUGGUGUAGCGGUGAAAUGCGUAGAGAUCACGCAGAACUCCGAUCGCGAAGGCAGCCUACCGGCGCGCAACUGACGCUCAUGCACGAAAGCGUGGGUAUCGAACAGGAUUAGAUACCCUUGUAGUC
Molecule: ribosomal RNA, 459 nt
Filed under: uncultured bacterium
Lineage: Bacteria
Description: partial 16S ribosomal RNA
Rfam family: Bacterial small subunit ribosomal RNA
Source: RNAcentral